AGGGAAAUGGCUCAGUGGUAGAGCAUAUGCUUAGCAUGCACAAAGUCCUAGGUUCAAUCCCCAGUACCUCCA
This 72-nucleotide transfer RNA is filed under the name Camelus bactrianus (Bactrian camel). It matches the Rfam family "tRNA". From Rfam's summary of the family: Transfer RNA (tRNA) molecules are approximately 80 nucleotides in length. Their secondary structure includes four short double-helical elements and three loops (D, anti-codon, and T loops). Further hydrogen bonds mediate the characteristic L-shaped molecular structure. tRNAs have two regions of fundamental functional importance: the anti-codon, which is responsible for specific mRNA codon recognition, and the 3' end, to which the tRNAs corresponding amino acid is attached (by aminoacyl-tRNA synthetases). tRNAs cope with the degeneracy of the genetic code in two manners: having more than one tRNA (with a specific anti-codon) for a particular amino acid; and 'wobble' base-pairing, i.e. permitting non-standard base-pairing at the 3rd anti-codon position. The record is from Rfam by way of RNAcentral. RNAcentral also lists the same sequence under 2 other names. Lineage: Eukaryota; Metazoa; Chordata; Mammalia; Artiodactyla; Camelidae.